Long non-coding RNA from Ictalurus punctatus (channel catfish), 1363 nucleotides. Lineage: Eukaryota; Metazoa; Chordata; Actinopteri; Siluriformes; Ictaluridae. The record is from Ensembl.
AAACAAGCAAACGAAGGCAAAAGAAGUGAGUUUGAAAAAAAUGCCAGUGAGGAGUGGUAACAUAGGUGCACACAACUUUCCUAAACUGGAAACCAAGGUGCAUCAUGUUUACCAGAUGACAGUCAACAGAAUCUGGGGAAAACACAGUGGUGUGACAAGCUGCCAGGAAGAAAGAGAAGUGGAAUGGGAGGAGAAAAGGGGCAGAAUUGAGCAGAGAGCUAAAUCUCAUUCACAUCUCCCCAGACCCAAUUGUUCAUCCCAAGUUGGUGAACACCAUCAUCCUGCUGUGGGUUUGUGAUUGAUUUUAGCCAUCGGACAGAAGCCUAGGGACAUGAGCAAAACUCUGACAACAAGGAGAGAGCAUUUCUGUGUGAUGUAAUAAACUGGGAUACAAAGCUAUUAAACUGGCAAAAAAAACCUGUAUUGCCGUCAGCACAACCUAACGAUUACAGCCCCAUGAUGUCAUUUUGGCUGAGAUGCUUCAAAAUGGAGACAUCACAGUAAACUACACUGAGUCUAUUGCAUAAAGUAUCCUAAUGGGACUCUGUCACUGAAAAAAAAACGGAGAUACUUGUGGAGUUCUGAGGAGUUAUAAUUCUUUAUGGCAGAAGAUUUAGGUCCUUAAGGACUCAUUACAGAUACACGUUUAUUCUAUGCCAUCUCCCUAUUCAAAAACUGGAAAUUACACACUACCUGGCUGGGCUGUGAGCUGUAAUAGAACAAAAAAUAUCGACCGCCUGGAGAUUUUCAAGGACUCGGGUGGGAAACUCUGCCGUAAGGCACAACUAGGGGAUGACAACAAGGCUUUUCGAAAAAUUUCUUUUGUGUUGUCUCAGAGAGAGUCCUGAGGGUGAAUGUCCCAGCUGGUUACUCAGACAGUGGUGUGGGGGUGUGUGUGUGUGUGUGUGUGUGUGUGUGUGUGUGUGUGUGUGUGUGUGUGUGUGUGUGUGUGUGUGUGUGUGUGUGUGUGUGUGUGUGUGUGUGUGUGUGUGUGUGUGUGUGUGUGUGUGUGAGAGAGAGAGAGAGAGAGAGAGAGAGACAGAGAGAGAGAGAGAGAGGAGGGAAAGCUGCCUGGUGUGCCUGAUCUAAUCCACCUGCCUGUGUUGGACUGCGCUCGCCCAGCUUAUCUCAGGCUUAAAGGAGCUCUCACUGCUGUUAUAGCAUGGAAAAAGCAAACGCCUUAUUUCCUACUAUUUGUAUUUACAAAAUUAGUUUUAAAUGUUUUAAAUGGUUGUUUAUUCAUAUGUACAUAUGUUUAGGGCUUAGUUCAUUGUGACCAGUUCCGCUAAAGCCCUAAGGCAUUAUUGUUUAUGCUGAUGGACAAACCAUCUGGUGAAGCUGAAUCUGCAUGAUUUGAAAUGAG